RNAcentral lists this ribosomal RNA (474 nucleotides) under Triticum aestivum (bread wheat). RNAcentral's name for it is "partial small subunit ribosomal RNA". The record is from RNAcentral. Lineage: Eukaryota; Viridiplantae; Streptophyta; Magnoliopsida; Poales; Poaceae.
AUGUCUAGCUCGACUUCAGCCACCCGCCAAUCAUGGACGCAGUACGGUCCACUACCAUUGACAAGAUGCCCCGAUUGCCCACGCAUGGAGCCUCUCAAGCGUUUGACUUGUGUGAGGGAAGAAAAUGGCAACCGUGGGCGCGAGUUUGUGAAAUGUUUGAGCAAGCCACAGCCGGGGCAGGUUCUGAAGAAAUGUGGGCAUUUUGAGUGGCUCGAUGAAUAUGUUGAAAGGUUGAAAUUGGAGGGAUCAACCCCAACCCAAGAGCUCAAUUUUGGGGGGCGGCUUGCCGUGGAACAAGCCCCCAAUUUGGCGGACAGAGCCGAUCCGAUGAUGCACAGUGCAGAACUGAAGUGUGAAUUGAAGAAAAUCGGCAAGCAACUAAAGCAUCUGAUCAAUUUGAAGCAGCAAGCAAAUAUGAUGGCGGGAGCAUUUUAUGGUUGUGUCAUUGCUAUGUGUUUAUUUUACUUGAUGUUC